This 909-nucleotide ribosomal RNA is filed under the name Dichocarpum basilare. RNAcentral describes it as "eukaryotic LSU rRNA". The stretch from base 255 to 410 matches the Rfam family "5.8S ribosomal RNA". The record is from RNAcentral. Lineage: Eukaryota; Viridiplantae; Streptophyta; Magnoliopsida; Ranunculales; Ranunculaceae.
GGGGCCCCAGCGGAGACUUGUCGAACCCUGCUCAAGCAGAACGACCCGCGAACACGUGAAAACAACCAUGCUGGGGACCGGAGAGGGGUGCGAGCCCCCGACCGACCCUCCGCCGUGCUGCGGAUCCGGCCGCGUGCGGUCGACCGCGGUACGGCACAAUCAAAAAACCCGGCGCAACAGGCGUCAAGGAAAUCUUAGCGGAAACGAGGCGGAGUCCCGCUCGCGGGGCGAUGCCAAGAAUCCGAUACCUGAACGACUCUCGGCAACGGAUAUCUCGGCUCUUGCAUCGAUGAAGAACGUAGCGAAAUGCGAUACUUGGUGUGAAUUGCAGAAUCCCGUGAACCAUCGAGUCUUUGAACGCAAGUUGCGCCCGAGGCCUUCUGGUCGAGGGCACGUCUGCCUGGGCGUCACGCACAGCGUCGCCCCCAGCCACACCCGUUGUGGUCGGGGAGCGGAGAUUGGCCCCCCGAGCCCUCGCGGGCACGGCCGGCCCAAAUGAUGGUCCUUGGCGGCGGUCGCCGCGGUCAAGUGGUGGCUUCAAAUACCAUUUCGGUGACCGGUUGGCAUCGCGGCCCGAGUUGGGACCGAAUCGACCCGCAGAGGCCGUUCCGACGGUUUUUCACCCUGCGACCCCAGGUCAGGCGGGAUUACCCGCUGAAUUUAAGCAUAUCAAUAGGCGGGAGGAAACUGGGGGUCGAUUCGGGUCCCAAUUCGGGCCGAUGUGACCGGGGACAAAAUGGUGUUUUUUGAACCCUUUACUGGGGCGCCGCACCGCCAACAAGUUUUUCUUUUCGGGCCGCCGGGCCUCGAGGGCACGUGCGUCCACACUACUACUUCACGUGCAGGAUGGGUGUGGUUGGGGGUCACGAUGGACAUGACCUCAAGGAUGACGUGGCCGUCUCCAGAUGG